GGAGUCACAGGCAGAAAAGUCAGAGAACAGUUUUCGGGUCUGAGAUUCGAGUCGACUCCAGUGGAACGCGAGUCGACUCCGAUGGUUGGCAAGUCGACUCCAAAGAAAGCAAGAGUCGACUCUCAGCGGUACACAAAGAAAAAGUCAGAGAGCAUUUUAUGGACUCUGAGAUUCGAGUUGACUCCCGCAAUACGCGAGUCGACUCCAAGACACCGCGACC
RNAcentral lists this long non-coding RNA (220 nucleotides) under Phoenix dactylifera (date palm). Its description in RNAcentral is "long non-coding RNA (PDAC_LNC016823)". The record is from RNAcentral. Lineage: Eukaryota; Viridiplantae; Streptophyta; Magnoliopsida; Arecales; Arecaceae.